This 497-nucleotide ribosomal RNA is filed under the name uncultured bacterium. RNAcentral describes it as "partial 16S ribosomal RNA". It matches the Rfam family "Bacterial small subunit ribosomal RNA", at positions 28 to 507 of the family's 1533-position model. The record is from RNAcentral.
GAUGAACGCUGGCGGCGUGCCUAAUACAUGCAAGUCGAGCGAACAGACGAGGAGCUUGCUCCUCUGACGUUAGCGGCGGACGGGUGAGUAACACGUGGAUAACCUACCUAUAAGACUGGGAUAACUUCGGGAAACCGGAGCUAAUACCGGAUAAUAUAUUGAACCGCAUGGUUCAAUAGUGAAAGACGGUUUUGCUGUCACUUAUAGAUGGAUCCGCGCCGCAUUAGCUAGUUGGUAAGGUAACGGCUUACCAAGGCGACGAUGCGUAGCCGACCUGAGAGGGUGAUCGGCCACACUGGAACUGAGACACGGUCCAGACUCCUAGGGGAGGCAGCAGUAGGGAAUCUUCCGCAAUGGGCGAAAGCCGGACGGAGCAACGCCGCGUGAGUGAUGAAGGUCUUCGGAUCGUAAAACUCUGUUAUUAGGGAAGAACAAAUGUGUAAGUAACUAUGCACGUCUUGACGGUACCUAAUCAGAAAGCCACGGCUAACUACGUG